CACGUAGGCGGACCGAUCAGUCGGGGGUGAAAUCCCGGGGCUCAACCCCGGAACUGCCUUCGAUACUGUCGGUCUGGAGGAUGAGAGAGGCGAGUGGAAUUCCGAGUGUAGAGGUGAAAUUCGUAGAUAUUCGGAGGAACACCAGUGGCGAAGGCGGCUCGCUGGCUCAUUUCUGACGCUGAGGUGCGAAAGCGUGGGGAGCAAACA
This 207-nucleotide ribosomal RNA is filed under the name uncultured bacterium. RNAcentral's name for it is "partial 16S ribosomal RNA". It matches the Rfam family "Bacterial small subunit ribosomal RNA", at positions 568 to 774 of the family's 1533-position model. The record is from RNAcentral.